GCUGGCGGCGUGCCUAACACAUGCAAGUCGAGCGGGAAUCUACGAAAUGAAGCUUCGGCCGAUUUUUGUAGAGGAUAGCGGCGGACGGGUGAGUAACGCGUGAGUAACCUGCCCUUAAGAGGGGGGAUAACACACCGAAAGGUGUGCUAAUACCGCAUAAUAUAUGUUUACCGCAUGAUAGACAUAUCAAAGAUUUAUCGCUUAAGGAUGGACUCGCGUCUGAUUAGAUAGUUGGUGAGGUAACGGCUCACCAAGGCGACGAUCUGUAGCCGAACUGAGAGGUUGAUCGGCCGCAUUGGGACUGAGACACGGCCCAGACUCCCACGGGAGGCAGCAGUGGGGAAUAUUGCGCAAUGGGGGAAACCCUGACGCAGCAACGCCGCGUGCAGGAAGAAGGUCUUCGGAUUGUAAACUGUUGUCGCAAGGGAAGAAGACAGUGACGGUACCUUGUGAGAAAGUCACGGCUAACUACGUG
This 475-nucleotide ribosomal RNA is filed under the name uncultured bacterium. RNAcentral describes it as "bacterial SSU rRNA". It matches the Rfam family "Bacterial small subunit ribosomal RNA", at positions 35 to 507 of the family's 1533-position model. The record is from RNAcentral.